This is a long non-coding RNA of Ictalurus punctatus (channel catfish), 1095 nucleotides long. The record is from Ensembl. Lineage: Eukaryota; Metazoa; Chordata; Actinopteri; Siluriformes; Ictaluridae.
GGGAGAUCGCACCAGCCCAGUCAACAGGCUCCCACUUGUACCAGGACUCCUUCAUGUCCUCCUGCUGCUUACGUAGCGCAGCUACUUCCAAGUUAUAGGUCUCACGUUCUGUCACGUUUCAAAGGUGGAGAAGGAAGCAAGCACAGAUUCUUAAAUAUUUAAUAACAAACAAACCUACGAAACACUCUACAACUAUGAAACAAAACACUGUGGCAGAGACAAAAUACGGCAGCAUAGACAAAGGUAUAGUAAGACGAAUACGUGAGACAAGGAAAGCAGUGCAAACAGUGGCAUAUAUACUAGUGUGCUCAUUAACCAAAACGUAAAUUAGGUGCAGGUGGUCAUGUUACACUGAUGAGUAUGGUGCAGUGACUGCUGUGAAAUGAAGUCCAGAGUUCCCUCAUUGAUACAUGACAGCUAAUAUCUCUACAUUACACACACACACAAACACACACUGUUCAUCUUACUCAAACAGCCAGUCAGUUUUUAAUAUCGAGUUCAAUAUAUGAUCAUUUCACAGAUACAAUGUCCAACGAUCAUCCAGUCCGAUUUCAGUAAAUUGCACAGUAGAUGUAACAGGUUGGGUUAACUAAAGGACAGUAAAAUAGUGUUUCACUUUUCCUGUCUUUAUUUCUUCUUUUCCCUUCACCAUUCACUCGUCUGCCUUUUCAUCUUCCCUGUUCUCUGCCCUUCUACUUUCUCACAGUCACACAAACGUGGGGCAAAUGUGAGAAACAGGAUUAGCUCCUGAACACAAGAACACACAGCUGAUCAUAAUAAGAUAAAAGAUUUUCAUAAAACAACAGUUGCACAAGGGAAUCCAAAUAAAUACAUAAGCAAGAAAUGCAUCAGGCCAUACGUGAAAUGUUUAAGACGAUAUCAGUGACAGAACUGGAACUUUUCAGAGGACAAAUAAGUCACUGAGAAUGUGCUAUACACCAGCUAACAUCUGUCGUCUCAUUUAAGUGGCAUGAUUAUAGGAAUUAAACUAUUAAUACCCUUAAUUAUUUAUUUCAGCUCACAGAUAAAAAGUGAACACUGCGUUGUCUAAUUUAAAGUCACACUUUUUUAUUCUGUUACUCAUGUUGAAGCAUG